This is a long non-coding RNA of Phalaenopsis equestris, 1227 nucleotides long. RefSeq lists it as uncharacterized. The transcript is spliced from 3 exons. The record is from RefSeq and is a predicted model, not a curated record. NCBI's taxonomy places the organism in Eukaryota, Viridiplantae, Streptophyta, Magnoliopsida, Asparagales, Orchidaceae.
UCCAAAGUUGAGACACUCAUCGACAAUAUCAUUGCGGCCGGUGGACACCUAGAUCAAGAAGAUAUUAUCCUCUAAACACUCAACAGACUUCCUGGAACCUAUCAAAGUGUCAAGGCAGCUAUUCGUACCCAACUACAUGCGUUUGUUCUAGAUGACUUUCUCUCUCUUUUUUGUAGUGAAGAGAUCAACAUCACAAGUGAUAAUAAGAAAUUAGACCAGAGUUCUAAACCUACAAUUUCUUGUUAGGUUGUUUCCUCCUGCACGAUGCCGUGGAAGAACUCAUAACAAUGCCAGUUCUAGAGGUGGUCAAAGCACAUCAAAACCUCAAGUUACUUGCCAAAUCUGCAGGAAGUUUGGUCACUUGACAGCCACAUGUUGGCAUCUGUCCAAUCUCAAGUACAUUCCUCUCAUACAAGCCUUGCAAACGACAACCUCCAAUUGGAUCUUGCACUCGAGUUCUACAACACAUCUUUCAAAUUUUAAUCAUUUACUACUGGCUACUAAGGUGACAAGAGCCGAACGGGUAACCGUGGGUACCGACCAAUCCGUAGCAAUGGCACCGUACUUGUUAUCUCUCGAGUAAUUGUUGCAUGGCAGCCAAUCGGCACACCAAUGGGUUUAUUUGACAUGGGUACAAAAUGAACAUGAAAAUGUCAGGUUAAUUUGGAGUUCAUUCACCAUGCCUUAAAAGAUCUCUGUCGUGAAACAAACAAGGUAUCUGAAGGAAAGGAAACAGUUUGGAACUCUACUUGCAGCACUCCAAAUCAAUCAGGAAAUACUAGUUCGCAUGCUUGGCAACAUUCAGGCAAUGCUUCUUGUUGGUUGGCGUCUAUUCAAGUUACACGCAUCUGGAAAGAUAACUAAACGUUUUGUUUUUUGCAAACUUGUGCUGCUAAGUAGCUGUUCUCUGGUUCAAUUAUUCAGGCAUUGAACUCUAAUAAGGCAAGAGAAACAGUUUCCCUUGGUCAUGAAUUAGUUGGAGGAAAUGGUAUAUUGGCUGAUUUGUUAGUGGCAAAGAUUCUGAAUGAAGAAGAGUGCCAAAAACUUGGUGACCUCCUCCUCAAGUUCUUAUAUCAAAAGAAGCCUAAUCAAAUUUUCCCUAAGAUAAUAAUCUUAGAAGGUUGUUCGGAUUGGUCAAAGCUGAUGAUGUAACAUCCUCAAUUCACUGUUGAUGUUUUAAUUAUAUAUUUUCUUAAAAAAAAUUCUUUUUCCAAAUGAGUUGUUAGC